This is a transfer RNA of 73 nucleotides. It matches the Rfam family "tRNA". Rfam says of the family: Transfer RNA (tRNA) molecules are approximately 80 nucleotides in length. The record is from Rfam.
GCUUGAAUAGCUCAGUUGGUAGAGCAAUCGGCUGUUAACCGAUCGGUCGUAGGUUCGAGUCCUACUUCAAGCG